Molecule: ribosomal RNA, 131 nt
Filed under: Talaromyces sp. CBS 133146
Lineage: Eukaryota; Fungi; Ascomycota; Eurotiomycetes; Eurotiales; Trichocomaceae
Description: partial 28S ribosomal RNA
Rfam family: Eukaryotic large subunit ribosomal RNA
Source: RNAcentral
UGACCUCGGAUCAGGUAGGGCUACCCGCUGAACUUAAGCAUAUCAAUAAGCGGAGGAAAAGAAACCAACAGGGAUUGCCUCAGUAACGGCGAGUGAAGCGGCAAGAGCUCAAAUUUGAAAUCUGGUUCCUU